This 416-nucleotide ribosomal RNA is filed under the name uncultured Pseudomonas sp. RNAcentral's name for it is "bacterial SSU rRNA". It matches the Rfam family "Bacterial small subunit ribosomal RNA", at positions 971 to 1382 of the family's 1533-position model. The record is from RNAcentral. Lineage: Bacteria; Pseudomonadati; Pseudomonadota; Gammaproteobacteria; Pseudomonadales; Pseudomonadaceae.
UUACCAGGCCUUGACAUGCAGAGAACUUUCCAGAGAUGGAUUGGUGCCUUCGGGAACUCUGACACAGGUGCUGCAUGGCUGUCGUCAGGCUCGUGUCGUGAGAUCGUUGGGUUAAGUCCCGUAACGAGCGCAACCCUUGUCCUUAGUUACCAGCACGUUAUGGUGGGCACUCUAAGGAGACUGCCGGUGGACAAACCGGAGGAAGGUGGGGAUGACGUCAAGUCAUCAUGGCCCUUACGGCCUGGGCUACACACGUGCUACAAUGGUCGGUACAAAGGGUUGCCAAGCCGCGAGGUGGAGACUAAUCCCAUAAAACCGAUCGUAGUCCGGAUCGCAGUCUGCAACUCGACUGCGUGAAGUCGGAAUCGCUAGUAAUCGUGAAUCAGAAUGUCACGGUGAAUACGUUCCCGGGCCUU